This is a microRNA precursor of Sorghum bicolor (sorghum), 111 nucleotides long. It matches the Rfam family "MIR5565 microRNA precursor family". NCBI's taxonomy places the organism in Eukaryota, Viridiplantae, Streptophyta, Magnoliopsida, Poales, Poaceae. The record is from Rfam.
GUUGUCAGGUUCACUUCAAUCCAUGUGUGUGUUGGUGUGGGUUGGAGUGGAGUUUAGUUCAAGUUCCACACCAAUCCACCUCAACACAUGUGGAUUGAUGUGAAUCCGAAU